GCAUAUCAAUAAGCGGAGGAAAAGAAACCAACAGGGAUUGCCCUAGUAACGGCGAGUGAAGCGGCAACAGCUCAAAUUUGAAAUCUGGCUCUCGGGCCCGAGUUGUAAUUUGUAGAGGAUACUUUUGAUGCGGUGCCUUCCGAGUUCCCUGGAACGGGACGCCAUAGAGGGUGAGAGCCCCGUCUGGUUGGAUGCCAAAUCUCUGUAAAGUUCCUUCGACGAGUCGAGUAGUUUGGGAAUGCUGCUCUAAAUGGGAGGUAUAUGUCUUCUAAAGCUAAAUAUUGGCCAGAGACCGAUAGCGCACAAGUAGAGUGAUCGAAAGAUGAAAAGCACUUUGAAAAGAGAGUUAAAAAGUACGUGAAAUUGUUGAAAGGGAAGCGUUUAUGACCAGACUUGGACUUGGUUAAUCAUCUGGGGUUCUCCCCAGUGCACUUUUCCAGUUCAGGCCAGCAUCAGUUUUCGCCGGGGGAUAAAGGCAGCGGGAAUGUGGCUCUCUUCGGGGAGUGUUAUAGCCCGUUGUGUAAUACCCUGGUGGGGACUGAGGUUCGCGCUUCUGCAAGGAUGCUGGCGUAAUGGUCAUCAACGACCCGUCUUGAAACACGGACCAAGGAGUCGUCUUCGUAUGCGAGUGUUCGGGUGUCAAACCCCUACGCGUAAUGAAAGUGAACGCAGGUGAGAGCUUCGGCGCAUCAUCGACCGAUCCUGAUGUUCUCGGAUGGAUUUGAGUAAGAGCAUACGGGGCCGGACCCGAAAGAAGGUGAACUAUGCCUGUAUAGGGUGAAGCCAGAGGAAACUCUGGUGGAGGCUCGCAGCGGUUCUGACGUGCAAAUCGAUCGUCAAAUAUGGGCAUGGGGGGCGAAAGACUAAUCGAACCUUCUAGUAGCUGGUUUCCGCCGAAG
Molecule: ribosomal RNA, 899 nt
Filed under: Fusarium avenaceum
Lineage: Eukaryota; Fungi; Ascomycota; Sordariomycetes; Hypocreales; Nectriaceae
Description: LSU rRNA
Rfam family: Eukaryotic large subunit ribosomal RNA
Source: RNAcentral